Molecule: long non-coding RNA, 619 nt
Organism: Orussus abietinus
Lineage: Eukaryota; Metazoa; Arthropoda; Insecta; Hymenoptera; Orussidae
Exons: 4
Source: RefSeq, a predicted model, not a curated record
CUUUUCUAUUAUACGUGCUGAGUAUUAUACGGUACAGUCUAUUAAAUAUUAAUUAUGAAAUUAGGAGUAAGCUCCAGGUAAACGUAGGCUUAAUUGUGCUGCAUUUGUAUACCGAUUAGUAUAAUCAGAACCGUAGAUAACAGUGGAAGGAUGCAAUCACGUAGUGCCAUUUACACGUGAGAAGGCAAAAUCGGGGUUAAUUUUUAAUAACUGGCGACACUUCUAAUCCACGACACGUAACUCCACACACGCGUGUACACAUCAGGCAUGCCUCGAGCACAAGGAAAUCCCCAUGAGACGAUUCCGAUUUGCACCCCACCAGCAACAAGAGGUCCUCCAGAGUCACCCUGAAGAGAUAAAAAAUCCUUUUUUUGCCCUGUCCAGCCUGUAGAAAAGUGCAGAUGUUGGCGUUGGUCACUUGGUAGUUCACAUUUAGGCAGGAUUGUUGAUGAAGAACGCGAGUGCGGAGCUGCUGCAGGUGGAAAUCACCGAACCUACCGAUAGCCUUCCCCAUCCGGUCACCACGGCAGGAUAAUUGGCCUGAUUUAUAUUCGACCUGGGCAGAGAAAUAGGUUGGACUCGAGUGUUAUAGGAAAUCGAUUGACUGAGUUGGAUCAGU